GAACCGAGUGAGCGCGUUGUUCGCGAGGGUUUUUAGGGAGGUACGAGGGAUAACACGAGGAAGGCGUGUAGAUCACCGGGUGAGGCGUCUCGAGUUCUUUCCGUA
This 105-nucleotide non-coding RNA is filed under the name Chloropicon primus. Lineage: Eukaryota; Viridiplantae; Chlorophyta; Chloropicophyceae; Chloropicales; Chloropicaceae. The record is from RNAcentral.